CAAAAUGUGUACUACUGUGUCCUACAGGAAAUUCUAGCUACAAAAGCAUUGGAGCUUGUGGCAUUGCUGUCUGACCCAGACACUUUGAACCAUCUAGUUGUUACUCAGCUGGAUGCAGUGCCAACAGAAACCCCAAGAAACCCCAUGAAAGUACAGAACUCAGACAAAGGAGAUUCUCCAUCCUCUGUGAUCUGUAAGGAUAUAGACAUGCAACAAGAUGUCAAAAUUGCCUGUAUGUCUGAAGACGACAAACCUAAAAAGAAAGGCAAUCUGUUUAAAUAUUACUGUCAUAAAAUAACUAAAAAACUUGAACCAAAGAGGAAAAAUAACAAAAAGAGUGAGGAU
This is a long non-coding RNA of Trichomycterus rosablanca, 345 nucleotides long. RefSeq lists it as uncharacterized. The transcript has 4 exons. Lineage: Eukaryota; Metazoa; Chordata; Actinopteri; Siluriformes; Trichomycteridae. The record is from RefSeq and is a predicted model, not a curated record.